GACGAACGCUGGCGGCGUGCUUAACACAUGCAAGUCGAACGGAAAGGCCCUGCUUUUGUGGGGUGCUCGAGUGGCGAACGGGUGAGUAACACGUGAGUAACCUGCCCUUGACUUUGGGAUAACUUCAGGAAACUGGGGCUAAUACCGGCUAGGAGCUCCUGCUGCAUGGUGGGGGUUGGAAAGUUUCGGCGGUUGGGGGUGGACUCGCGGCUUAUCAGCUUGUUGGUGGGGUAGUGGCUUACCAAGGCUUUGACGGGUAGCCGGCCUGAGAGGGUGACCGGCCACAUGGGGACUGUGAUACGGCCCAGACGCCUACGGGAGGCAGCAGUGGGGAAGAUUGCCCAAUGGGCGGAAGCCUGAUGCAGCAACGCCCCGUGCGGGAUGACGGCCUUCGGGUUGUAAACCGCUUUCGCCUGUGACGAAGCGUGAGUGACGGUAAUGGGUAAAGAAGCACCGGCUAACUACGUGCCAGCCGCCGCCGUAA
This 484-nucleotide ribosomal RNA is filed under the name uncultured bacterium. RNAcentral's name for it is "partial 16S ribosomal RNA". It matches the Rfam family "Bacterial small subunit ribosomal RNA", at positions 28 to 523 of the family's 1533-position model. The record is from RNAcentral.